This 479-nucleotide ribosomal RNA is filed under the name uncultured bacterium. RNAcentral's name for it is "partial 16S ribosomal RNA". It matches the Rfam family "Bacterial small subunit ribosomal RNA", at positions 28 to 507 of the family's 1533-position model. The record is from RNAcentral.
GAUGAACGCUAGCGGGAGGCUUAACACAUGCAAGCCGAGGGGUAUAGUUCUUUCGGGAACUAGAGACCGGCGCACGGGUGCGUAACGCGUAUGCAACUUGCCCUACUGAAAAGGAUAGCCCUUCGAAAGGAGGAUUAAUACUUUAUAACAGAUUUAAUGGCAUCCUUAGAUUUUGAAAGAUUUAUCGCAGUAGGAUAGGCAUGCGUAAGAUUAGUUAGUUGGUGAGGUAACGGCUCACCAAGACGAUGAUCUUUAGGGGGCCUGAGAGGGUGAACCCCCACACUGGUACUGAGCCACGGACCAGACUCCUACGGGAGGCAGCAGUGAGGAAUAUUGGACAAUGGGUGGAAGCCUGAUCCAGCCAUCCCGCGUGUAGGAUGACGGCCUUAUGGGUUGUAAACUACUUUUAUCUGGGGAUAAACCUACUUACGUGUAAGUAGCUGAAGGUACCAGAAGAAUAAGCACCGGCUAACUCCGUG